GUUCACAUUGGCAGCACAUGUACUAAAAUUGAACCGAUAUGGAGAAGAUUGCCACGGUUCCUGUGCAAGGGUGACAGGGUGACACGCAGAGUCAUGAAGUGUUCCCUGUUUUU
This is a small nuclear RNA of Ailuropoda melanoleuca (giant panda), 113 nucleotides long. Lineage: Eukaryota; Metazoa; Chordata; Mammalia; Carnivora; Ursidae. The record is from Ensembl.